AUCACAAUUUCAACUAAUUAUUAGUUGAAUUUCAAUAAGAUAGUUUGUCCAAAGCCCUCAGAUCUCAUAGCUUAACAAAUCAUCUGCGGUUUUCUUCACAGGUUUCAUUCACAACCUUCAAGCAAUAAUUCCAUUCCAUUCACAAACACACACACACACACACACAGAGAAAGAGAGAUAGUGACAUAGGAAGAGAGAGAGAGAGAGAGAGAGACGCAUAUCAGGUUGUGAACAAAACCGUGUAACCGUUCAAUGCUUUUAUUGAUACAUCACUGAGCAGGACAACAAACAAUUAACAAAAUUAUCGUUAUCAAUGUUAAAUAACCUUGAAUUUUUACAGUUUUGAUUUUGAGUUACUGUUAAUUUAAUGAUGAAAAACCCUAAAAUUUUCAGUUUUAAUUCUGACUUAAUUUAAUGUUAAAAAACCUAUUUUUCAGUUCUGAUUUAAAGUUACUAGUAAAACAAGUACAAUGUAACUAACAUAUUCACCAUAUAUAAGAGAAACAAAAACUUGAAUUUUGCAAAAUCGCCUUUGAAAUAUAAGUUACAUAUAAGUCAAAUACACAAAAAUAACAUCACUACACAUUAAACACGUUAAUAAAAUUUUAUUACAGUUUGAUUCCGAGUUAUCAAUUUAAAUUUAAUGUUAAGAACAAAGGAAAUACAAAUUAGAAUGUAAGAAAGAAAUAAACAAGGCAAUGGUGCACAUGACUAUAAACAAACCAAUGUAGCCACUCAAUAGUUUAUUUUUCCAUCAUUGGGCAGAAAAAACAAACAAGGCAUAAGAUAUUGGCUUUAAGUAUCAGAAUUUCAAGUUCAUUGGUUCAAGACUAUUUAUUUGAAGUUUUAAAACAGAAAAAAUAUUACAGAACCCCACUGGAAAAAUUCAAAUGGAUCGGAACAUAUGUAAACCAAAAGUACAGCUUUUCAGAAAAGAAAAGAUGGAAGUUAAAAAACCAAGAAAUUCCACCACAAUUUAAAACAAAUGCUGAAACGGCAACUUAAAAAGGAAGAUUAAUGAAAAAUAUAUAAAUUAGAUCAGAUAAAGUUUUCAAGGCUACGCAUUUCCAUCAAUAGCGCAGUAUUAAACUGCUCAGAGCCCAGUGCAUGUCAUCACAUCUUACACACCCAUAGAACACUUCAAUCUUAUUAAAGAAACACAGUUUAACUUCAAAUAAAAUUUCACCACAUUCACGAGUAAAUUUUUUUUGAAAUUAUCUUAAUUCGAUUGACAUUCAAUGAAGGAAUAAAUGGAAUCAUGGAGGGAUCUUGAAUCGAAGGCAUCAAAGAACUUGGUAUUAAGAGUUUAGGGUCAGAUUAAGCUUUCUAGGCUACACAUUUCCAUCAAAAAGUACAGUAAUAAACUGCUCAGAGCCCAGUGCAUAUAUCAUCAUUCACUAAAACUAAAAACAAUCAACAAAACAUAGAAACGGAACACAAAACAUAAAAUAAGCAAACAAUGAAAUGUGACAGUGCAUUAGGAUCAAAUCAAAAACACUAAAUUGGAAACUUCAAAGACAAACAUAUAAAAAACUGUCAUAUGAAAACUGAAGAGAAUCAUCUAAAUACUAAUUUCCAAGUGUAAAUUUGGAAUUUAGAAAAACAGUAAAGGAUUAUACAAUUCAUCACAAUUUCAACUAAUUAUUAGUUGAAUUUCAAUAAGAUAGUUUGUCCAAAGCCCUCAGAUCUCAUAGCUUAACAAAUCAUCUGCGGUUUUCUUCACAGGUUUCAUUCACAACCUUCAAGCAAUAAUUCCAUUCCAUUCACAAACACACACACACACACACACACAGAAAGAGAGAUAGUGACAUAGGAAGAGAGAGAGAGAGAGAGAGAGAGAGAGAGAGAGACGCAUAUCAGGGUGUGAACAAAACCGUGUAACGGUUCAAUGCUUUUAUUGAUACAUCACUGAGCAGGACAACAAACAAUUAACAAAAUUAUCGUUAUCAAUGUUAAAUAACCUUGAAUUUUUACAGUUUUGAUUUUGAGUUACUGUUAAUUUAAUGAUGAAAAACCCUAAAAUUUUCAGUUUUAAUUCUGACUUAAUUUAAUGUUAAAAAACCUAUUUUUCAGUUCUGAUUUAAAGUUACUAGUAAAACAAGUACAAUGUAACUAACAUAUUCACCAUAUAUAAGAGAAACAAAAACUUGAAUUUUGCAAAAUCGCCUUUGAAAUAUAAGUUACAUAUAAGUCAAAUACACAAAAAUAACAUCACUACACAUUAAACACGUUAAUAAAAUUUUAUUACAGUUUGAUUCCGAGUUAUCAAUUUAAAUUUAAUGUUAAGAACAAAGGAAAUACAAAUUAGAAUGUAAGAAAGAAAUAAACAAGGCAAUGGUGCACAUGACUAUAAACAAACCAAUGUAGCCACUCAAUAGUUUAUUUUUCCAUCAUUGGGCAGAAAAAACAAACAAGGCAUAAGAUAUUGGCUUUAAGUAUCAGAAUUUCAAGUUCAUUGGUUCAAGACUAUUUAUUUGAAGUUUUAAAACAGAAAAAAUAUUACAGAACCCCACUGGAAAAAUUCAAAUGGAUCGGAACAUAUGUAAACCAAAAGUACAGCUUUUCAGAAAAGAAAAGAUGGAAGUUAAAAAACCAAGAAAUUCCACCACAAUUUAAAACAAAUGCUGAAACGGCAACUUAAAAAGGAAGAUUAAUGAAAAAUAUAUAAAUUAG
RNAcentral lists this long non-coding RNA (2673 nucleotides) under Cicer arietinum (chickpea). RNAcentral describes it as "long non-coding RNA (CARI_LNC003572)". Lineage: Eukaryota; Viridiplantae; Streptophyta; Magnoliopsida; Fabales; Fabaceae. The record is from RNAcentral.